RNAcentral lists this transfer RNA (66 nucleotides) under Serratia marcescens. Its description in RNAcentral is "tRNA-OTHER". Lineage: Bacteria; Pseudomonadati; Pseudomonadota; Gammaproteobacteria; Enterobacterales; Yersiniaceae. The record is from RNAcentral.
GACGCGCUAGCUUCAGGUGUUAGUGUUCUUACGGACGUGAGGGUUCAAGUCCCUCUCUUCGCACCA